AUCGCUUCUCGGCCUUUUGGCUAAGAUCAAGUGUAGUAUCUGUUCUUAUCAGUUUAACAUUUGGAUAAAUAGUAACAUAUCUCCAUUUUAGACAGUUGACAAGAAUUUAC
RNAcentral lists this small nuclear RNA (110 nucleotides) under Panthera leo (lion). Its description in RNAcentral is "U2 spliceosomal RNA (ENSPLOG00000008831.1)". It matches the Rfam family "U2 spliceosomal RNA". Rfam says of the family: U2 is a small nuclear RNA (snRNA) component of the spliceosome (involved in pre-mRNA splicing). Complementary binding between U2 snRNA (in an area lying towards the 5' end but 3' to hairpin I) and the branchpoint sequence (BPS) of the intron results the bulging out of an unpaired adenosine, on the BPS, which initiates a nucleophilic attack at the intronic 5' splice site, thus starting the first of two transesterification reactions that mediate splicing. The record is from Rfam by way of RNAcentral. Lineage: Eukaryota; Metazoa; Chordata; Mammalia; Carnivora; Felidae.